GUGACGCGUAGGGUCAUUACCGAGUUUACAACUCCCAAACCCCAAUGUGAACGUUACCAAACUGUUGCCUCGGCGGGAUUUCUGCCCCGGGCGCGUCGCAGCCCCGGACCAAGGCGCCCGCCGGAGGACCAAUACACAAACUCUUUUGUAUAUCCCAUCGCGGAUUCUUUUACAUUCUGAGCUUUCUCGGCGCUCCUAGCGAGCGUUUCGAAAAUGAAUCAAAACUUUCAACAACGGAUCUCUUGGUUCUGGCAUCGAUGAAGAACGCAGCGAAAUGCGAUAAGUAAUGUGAAUUGCAGAAUUCAGUGAAUCAUCGAAUCUUUGAACGCACAUUGCGCCCGCCAGUAUUCUGGCGGGCAUGCCUGUCCGAGCGUCAUUUCAACCCUCGAACCCCUCCGGGGGGUCGGCGUUGGGGAUCGGCACUUACCUGCCGGCCCCGAAAUACAGUGGCGGUCUCGCCGCAGCCUCUCCUGCGCAGUAGUUUGCACACUCGCACCGGGAGCGCGGCGCGUCCACGGCCGUAAAACAACCCAAACUUCUGAAAUGUUGACCUCGGAUCAGGUAGGAAUACCCGCUGAACUUAAGCAUAUCAUAAGGCGGGAGGAAAUUUUU
Molecule: ribosomal RNA, 612 nt
Filed under: Trichoderma brevicompactum
Lineage: Eukaryota; Fungi; Ascomycota; Sordariomycetes; Hypocreales; Hypocreaceae
Description: eukaryotic LSU rRNA
Rfam family: 5.8S ribosomal RNA (bases 223-376)
Source: RNAcentral